AAGGGCCGAGUGCAACAUCGAUGGCUGCGUGAGUGCCUCGUGUGUACGCAGUCCGGGAAAUCUGAGUCAUUCAUAUUUCAUUCGUCAGUUUUGUCUGAUCCGUGGUGCAGAAAGGACAUGUGCUGGAUUGUGCUCGAACGCUCGCGACUUCUCAGAAAUAUCGUCCCACGGCAUGUUGAUCGCUUGCUUACCUCCCCAUGCGUGAUUCGUGGUGCCUGCUCGGAAGGUUCCUGUGUAACAUAAAUGUAACAAUGUAAAAAGAUUGUGAUGCCAUCAGAUAAAUCAUUACACGCUCUCUAGGUUGUGUGAGGUAGCGCCGUUAAAAAUAGAAUUCGUGAUGUGUAUACCUUUAUUUGUCCUUCAGUGUUCCACUAUUGCAUCUCAUAUAAAAUGGACUGAUAGUUAAUAACGCACACAUUUAGAUAGGUCAAUUAAAAUCAAUGACUUCAAUAAUUAUAUCAUUUUUAUCUAUGAAACUAUAUUAAAGAGUACGUAU
This is a long non-coding RNA of Anopheles funestus (African malaria mosquito), 496 nucleotides long. RefSeq lists it as uncharacterized. The record is from RefSeq and is a predicted model, not a curated record. NCBI's taxonomy places the organism in Eukaryota, Metazoa, Arthropoda, Insecta, Diptera, Culicidae. The transcript has 3 exons.